RNAcentral lists this long non-coding RNA (255 nucleotides) under Elaeis guineensis (African oil palm). Its description in RNAcentral is "long non-coding RNA (EGUI_LNC012419)". The record is from RNAcentral. Lineage: Eukaryota; Viridiplantae; Streptophyta; Magnoliopsida; Arecales; Arecaceae.
AUGUUUAUAAUUUUGUAGGUGUUUAACUAUGCUGCUAUGUGUUGUUUAAUUGUGAUGUCCAUGGGUGUUUGUUAGUGGUAGAGCAAUUCAUAUUAUGGGUAUUUCAUGUGGAUUGACCUUGAAAUAAAGGAUAAAAUGAAAGCAGCUCUUCUUACAAAAAGGGAUGAAGCUAGAAACUUGAAGAAGUAGAUGUUUUAAAAAGAGAGGCUAUUGAUAUCAAAAUGGAGGUAACAAAGUGGAAGGUUGAAUAUGGUG